UAGCACCACCAGCAGUUCACCAGCGCAGCAGCAACCAGAAAGAGAAAGAGGCAGGCGGCACAGCCAAACCAACCAACUAACCAACGGACGGAAGAGACCGCCGCGAAGCCUCGCCUCGACUCACCUCGCCAAUCCGGCCCCCCUUCCCUCCCCUUUUCCUCCCCUGCCCUCCCUCGGGAUCCGCCUGCGCGAUCCCGCCGCCGAGAUCGGAGCUCCGGCCGGCGCAUGGACCCCCGCCGUCGCGCCGAGUAGCGGGAGGUAGAGGUGGCAGAGACGCCAGCGCCGCGGGGCGAGGCGGGCAUGGACACGAACGCCGGCUCCUUCGUCGCCGUCCGGCGGCUCGCUGGCUCCGACCGCGCGGCCGGCGCCGUCGCGUUCCAUCACUCGUCCUCAGGUUGGUUCGGCCGUCUCCUCUUGGCAGUUGAUGCUCUUCGUAAUGGGAUGCUUACGUUACGCUUCGUGUGCUCGCGUGCGCCGGUGCAGCGGAGGUCGUGACCGGGUCGACGGCGUGGAUAGGGAGGGGGCUCUCCUGCGUCUGCGUGCAGAGCAGGGACAGCGACGCCCGCCUCUCUUUCGAUUUGACCCCCGUUCAGGAAGAGUGCCUACUGAGGUUACAGAACCGGAUAGAAAUUCAGUAUGACAGUUCAAACAUAGAGCAUCAGGACGAGCUGAAGGCCCUUUGGUGUGCCUCCUUUCCUGGAACUGAGCUUCGGGGGUUAGUAUCGGAACAAUGGAAAGAGAUGGGCUGGCAAGGGAAAGACCCGUCCACGGAUUUUAGAGGUGGAGGCUUCAUCUCCUUGGAGAAUUUAUUGUUCUUCGCCAGGAACUAUCCGAAAUCUUUUCAGGAACUUCUUCGUAAGCAGAAUGGUGACCGUGCAAUUUGGGAGUAUCCAUUUGCUGUAGCUGGUGUAAAUAUAACAUUCAUGCUCAUCCAGAUGCUUGAUCUACAAGCAGUCAAACCAAGGUCAUUGUUUGGAGCUGUUUUCCUAAAGCUACUUUCAGAAAACGAUCGAGCUUUUGAUAUCCUGUACUGCAUAACCUUCAAGCUGAUGGAUCAGCAAUGGCUUGACAUGCAUGCUACUUACAUGGACUUCAAUACGGUCAUGAAAUCGACACGACGCCAGCUAGAAAGGGAGCUGCUGCUUGAAGAUAUUCAGCGGGUCGAGGAUAUGCCAUCGUACAAGCUUCUAGCCCGCUAGCCAGUAACUGAAACCUUAACAUGGCUUACACGUAGCGAGGCUUGAAUUGCUAAACGAUGCAACCAGUGUCCUUAUACAGCGAGGGAGUGCCAAAAUGUAGAUGCCCUUGUAUCCUGGUGUUUUAGGUGCUCUGAUAACCCGACCUUUUCUUAUUUACAUAGUAGGGUUUUCUUGAUCAGCAUGCCACGUAGGGUAACUCCAGUAUCCGAACGCAGAGUAUUUGUAGGGUGUGUGCGUGCGCGUGUUGUUGAAGUUUGGUUAUUGCUCAUAAUACCACGGAAUGUAGUCUCUGUCUCUGUGUCCUUGUAAGCAGGAGCCUCUUGUGAAAGCUAAUCUGAGUUUUGGCGGUUUGCAACA
Molecule: RNA transcript, 1556 nt
Organism: Hordeum vulgare subsp. vulgare (domesticated barley)
Lineage: Eukaryota; Viridiplantae; Streptophyta; Magnoliopsida; Poales; Poaceae
Gene name: ELMO domain-containing protein A-like
Exons: 8
Source: RefSeq, a predicted model, not a curated record